This 264-nucleotide long non-coding RNA is filed under the name Ananas comosus (pineapple). RNAcentral describes it as "long non-coding RNA (ACOM_LNC003406)". The record is from RNAcentral. Lineage: Eukaryota; Viridiplantae; Streptophyta; Magnoliopsida; Poales; Bromeliaceae.
UUUUGACAAAUUGACAAAGAAGAGUGUAAUCGAGGUUAGGAGAUGAAGGAAGAGGAGGAAGCGGAGCCAUUAGAAGCUAAAAUAUAAGGAAGAGUGAAGAGAAGAUAAGGAGAAGAAAGGAAAAAUCUCAAGUAGGGGUAAAAAAGAAAAAAAGCGGAAGGAAGAAGGAAGAGAUGAAGUGCUAGAGCCAAAAAAGAGAGAAGAUACGGAGAGAGAGAGCCGUCGGAUGGAAUUUCAAAAAAUUGGUUUUAAUGGCGAAGAGAC